RNAcentral lists this long non-coding RNA (1161 nucleotides) under Triticum aestivum (bread wheat). RNAcentral's name for it is "long non-coding RNA (TAES_LNC017233)". Lineage: Eukaryota; Viridiplantae; Streptophyta; Magnoliopsida; Poales; Poaceae. The record is from RNAcentral.
GCAGCUUUGUGAGUAUUUUUGGUGACAACUUGCUCAAUUUGGAGUACAACUAACAUGAAAACCUGCAGUACGUGAUUGGGGUUCUCAUAAGAAUAUUCCAUGAUUGUUUUUGAGAGAGAAUAAGAACAUACACGACUGUAAAUAAUAAUCACUGAAUUGUAACAAACCACCUCAUGUUUUUCAAAGAUGGACUAGUGAAUACAAAACAUAUUAGAAUAUGUGAUUCAUACAAGACUUUCACGAUUUCUGACCAGCAUCGCAAAGAACAUGUUGGGGUAAAGUAAUUGAAACAGAAUGCAUUCAAGGUUUAAUAGUGAACAUGCUCUAGCAAAAUGAUUGAAUAGCAGGUUACUUGCCACAUCACAUAAUUUUCCAGUGGAAGAACACUCACAGCUCAGAAGCCUCUUGAUGGAUAGCGCUGACAAUGCAAAAUUGAAGGGCAAGAAGUUACGUAUCAGUAGCAAUUCAGCAGUGAAUUUGACAAAUUACAUACCUUCAUACAAGUAGCAAAACACUGAAAAGUCAUUUUUCCCCAUAAUUAGCAAAACACUGAAAAGUCUUUUGAUCCUCAAAACUCAACUUUCCAAGUAUACCACCAAGUCUUUGUGAGCGCCAAUCAAAUGUAAAGAUGAAUUAUCUAGAACCCUACCUGAGAAAACAUGUAGAACACCUGGUGAAUGCAUGAACACCUGGUAUCAUAGCAAUGUAGCAGUGGGUGAGAAAAUGGCAAACCUUAAUAUCAUCAGUGAAGCACCUUAGUCUCGUUUAUUCCGCAAUUAUUCUGUGGUGAUAUUUUGCUCCUCACAACGAAAGUAGCCAUGUACACCCACUAAUUUUUGAUGAGUGAUGCAGAUCGAAAUUUGAAUAUAAAGUAUGUAAAAGUCUACGAGAACGAACAUAAGAACACCUGCACAACAAGCCAAGAAAAUAAGCACACCUAGUAUGAUAGCAAAUGUAGCAGUAGGUGAGAAAAUGGCAAACCUUAAUAUCAUCAGUGAAGCACCGAAGUCUCGUAUAUUCCGCAAUUAUUCUGUUGUGAUAUUUUGGUCCUCACACCGAAAAUAGCCAUGUACACCCACUGAUUUUUAAUGAGUGAUGCAGACUGAAAUUUGAAUACAAAGUAUGUAAUAGCCUACGAGAACGAACAUAAGAACACCUGCA